This is a long non-coding RNA of Cervus elaphus (red deer), 284 nucleotides long. RefSeq lists it as uncharacterized. The transcript has 3 exons. Lineage: Eukaryota; Metazoa; Chordata; Mammalia; Artiodactyla; Cervidae. The record is from RefSeq and is a predicted model, not a curated record.
GAGUCCUUUUCUUGACGCUUGGCAUCCUGCCCUGGCCGUGGAGCUGGGGCAGCCAGAAGAGGAGUUAGCAUUGGUGUUCGAAGCCAAGUCAGAACUGGACAUUGAUUUUUCCACUGGGAAUAAGGUAACAGAAUCCUCAAGUGAGUGAAAAUCCUUUCCACCAGUAUUGGCACUUUCACCAUGAUGAGACUGAGGCCCCAGCAGGUGGCCACCCAGAGGUCACAUGGUUUGUGAAGUGUGUGUGUGUGCUCAGUCACUCAGUUGUGUCUGACUCCACUACGGCA